CCUACGGGAGGCAGCAGUGGGGGAUAUUGCACAAUGGGGGAAACCCUGAUGCAGCGACGCCGCGUGGGUGAAGAAGUAUUUCGGUAUGUAAAGCCCUAUCAGCAGGGAAGAAAGAAGACGGUACCUGACUAAGAAGCCCCGGCUAACUACGUGCCAGCAGCCGCGGUAAUACGUAGGGGGCAAGCGUUAUCCGGAAUUACUGGGUGUAAAGGGAGCGUAGACGGUGAUGCAAGUCUGGAGUGAAAGGCGGGGGCCCAACCCCCGGACUGCUCUGGAAACUGUGUAACUUGAGUGCAGGAGAGGUAAGCGGAAUUCCUAGUGUAGCGGUGAAAUGCGUAGAUAUUAGGAGGAACACCAGUGGCGAAGGCGGCUUACUGGACUGUAACUGACGUUGAGGCUCGAAAGCGUGGGGAGCAAACAGGAUUAGAUACCCGAGUAGUC
This 441-nucleotide ribosomal RNA is filed under the name uncultured bacterium. RNAcentral describes it as "partial 16S ribosomal RNA". It matches the Rfam family "Bacterial small subunit ribosomal RNA", at positions 338 to 795 of the family's 1533-position model. The record is from RNAcentral.